AGAUCCAAGGCAGCCGUCACCAACCCACAACUGUGUCUCCGAGAAAAGUACUGGACCAGGUGUGUACCGGACCAGUGUAUUAAACCAACAGCCCAGUACAGUCUUUACUGGUCCCCAACCCCGUAAUAUGAAUAACCAAUUCCCUUUGUUCUCUCCGUAAGAACUCUGCACCGGCCCAGAUUAAUGGAGACAGAAUGGAGACUUCAAUGGAGCCAACUUUAGACCAGCAAGGUUCCUUUGAAACUCGCAGCGGAAGGCUGUAUUUCCGUGGGAGGAACGCCGCUUUCGGUUAAGCUGUUAUAAAGACAUGUACGGGGGCACCGUAACAUUCCCACCGAGAUGAUCGACAAUCCCAUUCUUCGAGGCUGACGACAGAGAGCCAUCUGGCACAAACCUCCGAUUAAGCUUUGUUACUGAUUAUAGAUAUUAGUUGCGCACAUCUGUGCCUGUCAAUGCUUUCCGAGUGUGCUUGUCAAUUUCGGCUAAAAAUAUAGAAAACAUUGUGUUCUUGUUUACGAGUUGACACAUUUGAUCCGCAGCCAUAUUUUUCAUCAUCUGAAAUAUAACAGCUUCUGAGAUUGUGCACCC
This is a long non-coding RNA of Spea bombifrons (plains spadefoot toad), 588 nucleotides long. RefSeq lists it as uncharacterized. The transcript is spliced from 2 exons. The record is from RefSeq and is a predicted model, not a curated record. Lineage: Eukaryota; Metazoa; Chordata; Amphibia; Anura; Pelobatidae.